GAUGGCGACCGGCGCACGGGUGAGUAACACGUAUCCAACCUGCCGAUGACUCGGGGAUAGCCUUUCGAAAGAAAGAUUAAUACCCGAUGGCAUAGUUCUUCCGCAUGGUGGAACUAUUAAAGAAUUUCGGUCAUCGAUGGGGAUGCGUUCCAUUAGGUUGUUGGCGGGGUAACGGCCCACCAAGCCUUCGAUGGAUAGGGGUUCUGAGAGGAAGGUCCCCCACCAUUGGAACUGAGACACGGUCCAAACUCCUACGGGAGGCAGCAUG
Molecule: ribosomal RNA, 268 nt
Filed under: uncultured bacterium
Lineage: Bacteria
Description: partial 16S ribosomal RNA
Rfam family: Bacterial small subunit ribosomal RNA
Source: RNAcentral